GGCGCAGCUCCCGGCGAUGACCUCAGGCAGCUGAGCAAUUAGAGCCCCGCGCACCAGUGCUGUGCUGAGCGGGAACACAGCCCCGCGCCAGCCUUUAAUAUGAAAAUGAAGAAGGGAAACAACAAAUCCAAUAAACCGGCGAAGUCAAACAAAGCCAACUGGGAGUUCGUUUGGCGAUAAGAGCAAGGAAGAGAGGCGGCUGAUAAAGCCGGGUGUUUCUCCGCUGGCCCUGUCUGCCACGGGUCUGUCAGGACUGAGUGGCUCGGGAGGCAGCCUGGACUCACCCAGGUGGGAAAACCACCUCAGGGAAUGAGGACACAUGCGAGUGCUUCAUUUGCAGCCGGGGAGAACAGGCGUGUUUCUGCCCCUUUCCCAUUUCCAGGCAUCUGUAAGCGCUUUGCAAAGCAAAUGAGUUUGCUCCACAGUGGGCCAAGGACGCAGAGCCCAGGGAGCAGGUCGGCAGCUUCUGCUCACCUUCAUUUGAAACAGCAUUAUCCUGCUGAGAGUUUUGAAGUCAUAAAGUCACCCUCCGCUGCCAAGAUCCUCCAUCUGAAGAUCUCCAGCAGACGCCGACCGCAGCACCUCGGCACCGUAUCAAUUGAGCUCAGCCACUGUACAGCCCAGCAAAGCUCAGUCCUGUCACUGUGCAAACACUUUACUCCCAAAGAAGAGGAUCCCUACAAGAUCUCGGCCAACUUCAGAGCGCUCUGAGUAAGGUAUUAAGCCAACAUCAGCGCCUACACCAGCGCUCGUACCAGUCUGAGUUAAUCAGUUUAAACCCAUACCUUUAGAUAAAUACUUGUGUGCAGACAGACGGUGAUUCAGGAUUUGAUCAAAGCUCAAUGAAUACAAUGUGAAUGAACGUGCGGUCUGAACAAAUACAUAAAUAAACAGAAAAGAGACAAUAAAGGAUCAGUGGCCAUUCUCCUUGAAGACCAGGCACGGUGCUCAGAAAACCCCAGAGUCAGCUCUAAAGGGAUUACACGGAUUUGGCAGGGAAUCUGCUGCUCUGGAAGAUGAGGAGCUCAUCAGGAGUACAUUACCCUGGAAAAAUCCCCCAGCACUGGAAGGUCCCCACAUAGCCUGGAUUUGGAAUACCUUAACCCAUGGCUGUGCAACCUUCUGGCUUGCCUGGGCUGCAGUGAGUGAAGUGGAAUUGUCUUGGGCUGCAUAUACAGAGGUUGCACCAAAAGUAAUGCCUCCUAUUUAUUUCCCCAGAAACUACAACCAAUAUAACAGGCACAACAACACUAUUUGAUAGAGCAAAUUCUCUGCUACAAAACACUAUCUUUCAUCAGAGCCACCGUCAUUAGCUAUGCAUUUUCACCAGCAGUGAACAAAAGCCUGUAUGUCAUACUCCUCAAAACCUGUACCACUGGAGGUGACCCACUGUCACCACUGCUGAAACACACCACCCAUUGCCUCACUGUGCUCACAUCCGCUGUUUGGUCUCUACAAACAUGCAGCAAGCAUCGGUGAAUGCCACUUUUCUGUAUGAAGGAAUCCAAUGACACCCCUUUGCUUCAUAUGCACUUCCACAUAUUAGAUGUCACUUUGUCAGACUGCCCCUCUGCUGCCAUCUGUCACAUGGUAACAACAGGUAACAGGAUAUUGGUGGGAAGGUUCAGCCUCUACUGUCAUACCACCAAUAUCUGCCUCUGAUGUCAUAGGCCAGCAUCAUAAAGUAGGAUACAUUACUUUUGGAGCAGCCCUCAUUAAAUAUGUAGUACAGCUCCUGUAUUUAAGUAACAAAACUAAUUUUAUUUUUUAAUAUUUUUUAUUCAAACUAAAAAGGAGAGAAACAAAUACCUACAACUAGUGGGAUAUGUGUCCUUGUUUUUAUGAAACUAACACACCACUCUGAUUCGAUGGCAGUGGCUCCAUUUCACAGUGAGCUCUCAAGGUCUUUGUCAGAGAUUUUAAUGAAAUUUUACUUUUCCUGUGCUUUAUCCUUGAAAAUAGGUGUGCACAAAUGUAUCUACUGCCAAAAAGCAGUGACAUGAAUGAGGUGUGGCUGUGAGGUGAGGGGUAUUUAUCUCUGGUAAGAGAAUGAUUAUAGAAGUGUGGUAGAGAGACAUGGUCACGUUAUUUUUUUAGUUGAAUAUUUGUUUGCAAUUCUGUACAUUCCAUUUGAAAACUGACAGCUUUUCAACCUCAUAUAUUCAGGUCAACUGAAAACAGAACUGCAAAUAUCCCCAAAAAAUAGAUAAUUUUUUUCAGAAAUCUCAAAACUUAUUCUCAAAUUCCUUUAUUACAACAGAAAGCACAGCUCCAUUUUUUUUAAGCUGUUCACAGGACUGUCUUUAGCCAAUGUAUCAAAACGCAUAACAUUCUUUGCCAUCACUGAAGCUGGCACUGCACUCUCCCCAUGCCCUGGUUUCAGAUCAGGCAGUGCCCAUCACACACCAACGUUUGCUUGCUGUGAGCAAUGGGUGCACAUCCAGGGCCAGGCAGGGCCACUGAGCAGAGCCUCUGCCAUGAUGGCAUGGGGCAGGGGGUGGCCACAGGACAGGCUAGGCUGGGCUGGCCCACAUGCGGCCUGCAGGCCAUGGGCUGGACAUGCCUGCUUUAGCCCAAGAUAAUUUUUCCUCAAGUAGUGACUGCAGAGCAGAGACCCUACUGCUGACUGAAAUGAACCAUGCCAUAGGAAGAGUCCAAGCCUUGGGUCCAAGGUGACAAGCCUUCCUCAGUGUGCCUAGCCCGGAGCAGGGCAGGUACACACAGCCCAGACGUGCCCUGAGUUACUUUGUCACUUAAUUUACUAGGACAGUAUAACAUGCAGCAUGUGGUUAAUAGAAAUUGCACCUGCUGAAUCAAAUGACAGACAUUUCAACUUAUGCACUGGGGUCCGGCUCUCCUUAGAAGCACAUAAAUACCAUGAGAGCUGAUACUCACGCAGCCCAUAGCCAAACCCUGGAAUCAGGCCCAUAUAUGUCCUCUUUGUUCACAGCUACCCCGUAAAGAAUCAACAUUUAUAGCUCAAAAGAAUGCUGCAAGGACUUUGGAAAAAUGAACCUGAGACACACCUUUGCCUUUAACUGGAAUCAAAAUUGUUUUAUUUCUGCAAAACCUUUUUAAACUUUUUUGUUUGUUUGUUUGUUUAUAGGAACCAUGACAGAGGUUCUAUCUCCGAACACAAUUUUCUCAAGAAACACUCUGUAAAUGCCACUGAACUUACACGACGAAAGAUCUGCAGAACAAGGGCCUUAGCAGAGAUAAGUAAUCACAAGAAAAAGAUUAGGCAACAGCAAGCCUACAGGCGGAAGUGGCGUAUUGGGAUUGCAGUGGCAUGACUACAAAGCUUCAGAGGAGAGUGCACAAUUCUCACUUCAGUUCUGAUUUCUUUCUUCUGGCUCAUUUUUAGGCCAUAUAGUAUAUUUUAACCUUACUUCUUGUUUUUCAGGGAGCUCUCCUACACUUUUCUUUGUCUCUGUUUUCUCAUUCUAUUCCCUUCCAGGGUUUCUGCACUUUCUGUUCCAGAAAUCUCUUGCAGGAUCUGAUUCUGCAGAUGAUGCUGUAACCAGCAGUCAUAUUUUAUCCUGUGCCUGCUGAAACAAAUGAUGGAACUGCUAUUCCAGUAAGGGAGUCGUGAAUAUGGAUCAUAGCUCAGAAGAUGAACACCUCCAACUGUGCAUGCAAAGAACAUCUGAAUUGAUUUUCCAAGGAGGAGAAGUACAGAACUCAAAGUGCUCCUUUGGUAGGAUGUGUGUGCUCACACUGAAACUCAGGCUUUCAGAAUCAAUUCACAAACUCCUGUAACUCUGUACUAUUUAAACACGGAUUCAGAAGGUUACAUCAUUUCCUCUGACCCAUGCAAAGAUAAGACACAGGACCAUCAGACAGUGGUUUGCAGCGAUCUGACUAACAUCACUUAUAACCCAUCAAAGACACUCCACAGCUCAGUCCUGAGCCCUCUUAGGAUGCAACAAUCCUCCUACAGAGUGCACAGUUCGGAUAUCUAUACUGUGCAGAGAAGCAUUACAAAUGGACAAUUGCACAGGAUUAAUCCUGCUCAGAUUGCAUGCCCUGUGGCCUCUGGAUGACGGCCAGCUCCACAUCAUUACCGCCUCUGAACAAGAAGAAGAGCCUCAUCUGGGGCAAGAUACAGCCUGCAAAACAUUGCUAAGAGUUAACAGGUGAGGUAGUCAGUAGCAGGUUAUACGCUAUAUGUUAUAGGUAUGUUAUGUUUAAUGUCCUUUAGUAGGACAUCCUCUUUGCUUCAUUGUUAUGUAGCAAGUACCUGGAGAAGGACUGAAGCUGGAAGUGCACCCGCAGAGGAGGGAAUGGGAAGGUGAAGGUGAUGCUGGGUAAGAGUGAGCAUGGAAUCUGCAGGCACAGUGGUUCUUGAUGCUUUCUGAGGAUAAACUCCAGUUAUAAGCAACUUAGGUGGUGCCAAGAGGCUGCAGAUCUGAAAACCACUAUCAGAGGAGGAAGAAACCAAAAGCCAAGGUCUUUCAGGAGCAGUGCCUGUUGCCCCAGACCAUGUGGAUGCAGAGUGAAGAUGGGUGUUGGAAAAGCACCACGUGUAGAAAGUUGAGUCCACGGGGAUGGGAAUAUGGGAACUCAGAUCCUGUCCCUUGCCUCCACCUGACCUGCCAUGCAGAUGUCACAAGCUCAUUUGACUGUACUCUAUGUUGUCUACUUAAUAAGCAUCCUAGAUGUUGCAAUGUAACCUUCAUGUGAGACAGUAAGACCAGCAGAGUCCACAUCUCAAGGUGCUGCAGCAAUGUGCCUGAUCCUAACAGGAGGAGGGGUGAGAGGCUUUGAAGUCGUGUUUCUCUGAGAGCUGGGGAACAUUUAUUGUGAUAAAUGUUGAUAAUCCUUUGCUAAUGGAGGAGAAACACUCAAUGGUAGGAAGGCAGUACAUUCAGGCUGAAAGAUUGCAGCCAAAUGUGAAGGAACUGCUGGUAAACUUGGAAGGAUGGAGCGCAGGGAAACCUUUCACAUCUUCACAGGAGUCCUGCCUUGAUCACCAGGAAAGGCCUACCUGUAGCUUGUGCCCUUGGGCUUAUUUAACCCUGACACUCUCAAGGUUACUUGGGUCAUAUUUUUGAGCUUCUGAGUUUAGCAGAGUGAAAAGAGGAUAGAAGUGGCAGCACUUCAGAGAGGCUGAACUAUACAACCAAAGCAUUUUAUUUUUCUUCGUCAAUUGCAGCACUGCAUGGGCAACCAUUGACUUCCAGUACUCUCCUAACUUGAAUCCCAAAUCUUCUCUGUGAUCUGUUUUCAUUGUAGUUUGUCUCUAUUGCGGCCUGCUGUAGGAAUGCACACUGAGAACCAGUCCUGGUAAGCUAUAGUAGACCAACAGCUCUGUGUAUUGGGGCAGAAGCCAAACAUAUAAGGAGAUGUACCUAGCCAUAGGCCUAUCUGAGGGAUAUUACAGGUAUAACAGCUCUAGCAGACCUUGGUCACUGUUCUUUCUCAUUCGUACUGGUUAGAAAAGAUCAUUUCUAUUCUGUACAUUUCCUACCAUUAAAAAUGUUUGCACCAUUCCAACACCAAAGUGAAAACCUGAAUUAUUUUAAAUCACAAAAUGGAUAUUCAGGAAGCUUUUGUUGGGAUGAUUCCAGGAAACUGGAAUGCAAUAUUUAAACUGAAACUGCAGCUACUUGGAGCAAAAGGCUGAAAUAGAAGAUUUCAACCUCAUCCUCCACACAAAGUGCAGAAGGCUAAAUGAUUUGUUUCAGGAUGCCCAGCACCAUCAGAACUUGAAAUUUUCCAUGAAGUGUUUAGAAUUAUCAAAGGGAAGAAUUGUUGCACCCAGAUGUUAUUAUAUCCUGUGGUUACCAAGCGUCCCUCUAUUGGUUAGCUGUUGGUAGUUUAUGUAUUUCUUGUUCUUUCUUCCUCUGCGUCUGGGCCUCAGUCUACAGGUACUCAUGUUCAAGAAGCACAGCCCAGAGACAGAUCAUUUAAAAGACUUUCUAAUCUGUGAAUAAGCUGCCUCUGUCUGAGAGAAGCUGCAAGUCUUGCUGCUGUCUUUCAGCUCUGACUGGUGGGAAGCUCCACUGAAUUCCCAGUGGUCUAUCAUUAUUCCAGAUGUCCACUCAGCCCUGCCACCUUUUGCUCAUUUUUCAGUAUAUAUUUGAGCAGGGUUUCUUCAAACCAGGGAAUAAUACCUGUGUGAUCGCUGCACGUCAGUCAACAGCCUUUGCUAUUUACCAUUUGCAGUGUCACCUUAUUUUGUCUUCAAGCAAUCAUGUAAAGACAGAGGAACUGCUCUGUAAGAGUGUGGCAGCAUGCAACAAGAUGUCUAUGAAUGAAUCUUCUCUCAGAGAAAGGCACAACAAGAAUAGGUGGAAGUUGAAGCCAUAUUGAAAAAAAAAAAAUCCAAUGUGAGAACUCAGAACUAUAUCUUCACCAGUGGGGUGAAGAGCGUGCCAGCACAGUGCAGCAGCCUUGCUGCUAGGAGAACCAAGGAACCUUCACCAACACAAACUGUACUUCCCGCUGACCUUGCAGAUAACUGCGAACCAAAACACUCAGCCCUCUAAUUUCUGUUCCUGAUGGAGCUUUACAAGAUCGAGCUAAAUUUAACGAG
Molecule: long non-coding RNA, 6538 nt
Organism: Gallus gallus (chicken)
Lineage: Eukaryota; Metazoa; Chordata; Aves; Galliformes; Phasianidae
Exons: 4
Source: RefSeq, a predicted model, not a curated record